AUUGAACGCUGGCGGCAGGCCUAACACAUGAAAGUCGAACGAGUGGCGGACGGGUGAGUAAUGUCUGGGAAACUGCCCGAUGGAGGGGGAUAACUACUGGAAACGGUAGCUAAUACCGCAUACCAGCGGAUGAGCCCAGAUGGGAUUAGCUAGGAGGUGGGGUAACGGCUCACCUAGGCGACGAUCCCUAGUUGGUCUGAGAGGAUGACCAGCCACACUGGAACUGAGACACGGUCCAGACUCCUACUGGAGGCAGCAGUGGGGAAUAUUGCACAAGGGGCGCAAGCCUGAUACAGCCAUGCCGCGUGUAUGAAGAAGGCCAUCGGGUUGUAAAGUACUUUCAGCGAGGAGGCGUUACCCGCAGAAGAAGCACCGGCUAACUCCGUGCCAGCAGCCGCGGUAAUUC
This 406-nucleotide ribosomal RNA is filed under the name uncultured bacterium. RNAcentral describes it as "partial 16S ribosomal RNA". It matches the Rfam family "Bacterial small subunit ribosomal RNA", at positions 30 to 526 of the family's 1533-position model. The record is from RNAcentral.